This 253-nucleotide ribosomal RNA is filed under the name uncultured bacterium. Its description in RNAcentral is "partial 16S ribosomal RNA". It matches the Rfam family "Bacterial small subunit ribosomal RNA", at positions 524 to 776 of the family's 1533-position model. The record is from RNAcentral.
UACGAAGGGGGCGAGCGUUGUUCGGAAUCACUGGGCGUAAAGGGCGCGUAGGCGGCCCUCCUAGUCGCGUGUGAAAGCCCCGGGCUCAACCUGGGAACGGCGCGCGAAACGGGGGGGCUGGAGUUCGGGAGAGGAGCGUGGAAUUCCCAGUGUAGAGGUGAAAUUCGUAGAUAUUGGGAAGAACACCGGUGGCGAAGGCGGCGCUCUGGACCGAGACUGACGCUGAGGCGCGAAAGCUAGGGGAGCAAACAGG